CUAAUACAUGCAAGUCGAGCGAACAGACGAGGAGCUUGCUCCUCUGACGUUAGCGGCGGACGGGUGAGUAACACGUGGAUAACCUACCUAUAAGACUGGGAUAACUUCGGGAAACCGGAGCUAAUACCGGAUAAUAUAUUGAACCGCAUGGUUCAAUAGUGAAAGACGGUUUUGCUGUCACUUAUAGAUGGAUCCGCGCCGCAUUAGCUAGUCGGUAAGGUAACGGCUUACCAAGGCGACGAUGCGUAGCCGACCUGAGAGGGUGAUCGGCCACACUGGAACUGAGACACGGUCCAGACUCCUACGGGAGGCAGCAGUAGGGAAUCUUCCGCAAUGGGCGAAAGCCUGACGGAGCAACGCCGCGUGAGUGAUGAAGGUCUUCGGAUCGUAAAACUCUGUUAUUAGGGAAGAACAAAUGUGUAAGUAACUAUGCACGUCUUGACGGUACCUAAUCAGAAAGCCACGGCUAACUACGUGCCAGCAGCCGCGGUAAUACGUAGGUGGCAAGCGUUAUCCGGAAUUAUUGGGCGUAAAGCGCGCGUAGGCGGUUUUUUAAGUCUGAUGUGAAAGCCCACGGCUCAACCGUGGAGGGUCAUUGGAAACUGGAAAACUUGAGUGCAGAAGAGGAAAGUGGAAUUCCAUGUGUAGCGGUGAAAUGCGCAGAGAUAUGGAGGUACACCAGUGGCGAAGGCGACUUUCUGGUCUGUAACUGACGCUGAU
This 720-nucleotide ribosomal RNA is filed under the name uncultured Staphylococcus sp. RNAcentral describes it as "bacterial SSU rRNA". It matches the Rfam family "Bacterial small subunit ribosomal RNA", at positions 48 to 750 of the family's 1533-position model. Lineage: Bacteria; Bacillati; Bacillota; Bacilli; Caryophanales; Staphylococcaceae. The record is from RNAcentral.